GGGGUGUGGCACGGCUGCUACCCAGGAGCAUGUGCUGAAAGGAAGCCAGGAAGGUGGGCAAAGGCCAGAAGCUGCCAGGCCAUGCACACCUUCGAGGGUGGACUUGGUCUUGGAGCUGACAGAGAGUGACUGGGGGUUGUACCAUGAGGCUGCUAGACUGGAAGAAGUGAGACUGGAGGUAAGGGACCCAGCCGGCAGCCUAGUGGGAGAGAAAGGAGAGAUGUAAAGAGGUCCAAAACCAACGCGGUGACAGCAGGAACGGAGAGGAAGUGAGUCACUGCGGCCUGGAGGUGACUGGAUGCAGGAGGGACAGGCCAAGUCUGGGAUGCUUCAGGUAACCCGAAGCCAUCCAUCAGGACGAGGAAGCCAUCCAUCAGGACGAGGGAGACAGCCCUUGAGGGGGCGGGGCGUAAAGAGGAGGAAUAACAGAAUAAGAGGUGCCGGGCACUGAACCAGGAGCUGUAGGUGAAUUACUUCAUUUACUCCUCACACGGACCCUUCGAGAAGAUGAGGAAACUGUUUGUCCCAUGACGAGCUAGGGACAGAAUCCAGGGCCUUCAGUAUCCACUCAGUGCUCUUGUCCCUACAGCACAAAGGAUCCAGACAAGAAGAACUGGAAGAGGCUACGAUGCCCCUAAGCCUAACCCUACCUCUGCUCCCGGAGGGGCCCCAGAGCCACGGCCACCCUCCUCUGCGCUCUACGGGCCACACAGCACUGCCUGUGCCCUUGUUUCCCUCGUCUCCAAAUUUUAGGGGUCACUGUCAGCCCCACAUAUCACCAACAGCCGCCAACCAUCACAGAGAACUGGAAAUAUCCGGACUGGCCCACGCUGCUGGAUCACCGAUGCUGCUGCAAUGUCUAGACAGAGCGCGCACCUUCCUGUCCCCCGACAAGCACCUGGACAGCCCAUGAGUGUCCCGGGAGCACCUGCUUGGUGACCAGCGUGGCAGACCAAGAAAUCACACAUUUGGGCAGCGACUUUCUCCAAGUUCUUCUUUCUGCCAAGCACACAAAUGAACAG
Molecule: long non-coding RNA, 1022 nt
Organism: Orcinus orca (killer whale)
Lineage: Eukaryota; Metazoa; Chordata; Mammalia; Artiodactyla; Delphinidae
Exons: 2
Source: RefSeq, a predicted model, not a curated record